RNAcentral lists this ribosomal RNA (399 nucleotides) under uncultured Sphingobacteriales bacterium. RNAcentral describes it as "bacterial SSU rRNA". It matches the Rfam family "Bacterial small subunit ribosomal RNA", at positions 981 to 1382 of the family's 1533-position model. The record is from RNAcentral. Lineage: Bacteria; Pseudomonadati; Bacteroidota; Sphingobacteriia; Sphingobacteriales.
UCAAAUGUAUGUUGACGUAUUCUGAAAGGGAUACUUCUUCGGACAAUAUACAAGGUGCUGCAUGGUUGUCGUCAGCUCGUGCCGUGAGGUGUCGGGUUAAGUCCCAUAACGAGCGCAACCCCUAUCAUUAGUUGCCAUCAGGUCAAGCUGGGGACUCUAAUGAAACUGCCUACGCAAGUAGUGAGGAAGGUGGGAAUGACGUCAAAUCAGCACGGCCCUUACGUCCAGGGCUACACACGUGCUACAAUGGCCGAUACAGAGGGCAGCUACCUGGUGACAGGAUGCAAAUCUCCAAAGUCGGUCUCAGUUCGGAUCGGAGUCUGCAACCCGACUCCGUGAAGUUGGAUUCGCUAGUAAUCGCGCAUCAGCCAUGGCGCGGUGAAUACGUUCCCGGGCCUU